GUGCUCGCUUCGGCAGCACAUAUACUAAAAUGGGAAUGAUACAGAGGAGGUUAGCAGGGCUCCUUGCUCAAAAAUGCAAAGCAAAUAAGCAAAGCAAAAUAUUGGU
This is a small nuclear RNA of Pteronotus mesoamericanus, 106 nucleotides long. The record is from RefSeq and is a predicted model, not a curated record. NCBI's taxonomy places the organism in Eukaryota, Metazoa, Chordata, Mammalia, Chiroptera, Mormoopidae.